RNAcentral lists this unclassified non-coding RNA (400 nucleotides) under soil metagenome. RNAcentral's name for it is "partial contains 5.8S ribosomal RNA, internal transcribed spacer 2, and large subunit ribosomal RNA". The stretch from base 1 to 122 matches the Rfam family "5.8S ribosomal RNA", at positions 35 to 154 of the family's 154-position model. The record is from RNAcentral.
GAUGAAGAACGUAGCGAAAUGCGAUACUUGGUGUGAAUUGCAGAAUCCCGUGAACCAUCGAGUCUUUGAACGCAAGUUGCGCCUCAAGCCAUUAGGUUGAGGGCACGUCUGCCUGGGCGUCACAUAUCGUUGCCUGAUGCCAGUUUCCUCGUGAUGGGUGACUGUGCAGGGCGAAUGAUGGCUUCCCGUGAGCAUUGUUGCCUCAUGGUUGGUUGAAAAUUGAGUCCUUGGUCGGGAGCGCCGUGAUAGAUGGUGGUUGAGUGACGAACGAGACCCAAUCAUGUGAGACCCCUACCGAAUUUGGCCUUCAUGACCCACAUGCGUCUUUGGAACGCUCAUGACGAGACCUCAGGUCAGGCGGGGCUACCCGCUGAGUUUAAGCAUAUCAAUAAGCGGAGGA